GAUGAAGAACGUAGUGAAAUGCGAUACUUGGUGUGAAUUGCAGAAUCCCGUGAACCAUCGAGUCUUUGAACGCAAGUUGCGCCCGAAGCCAUUAGGCCGAGGGCACGCCUGCCUGGGCGUCACACGUCGUUGCCCCCCCAUCUACUCCUUCGGGAUUGCGGGGGGCGGAUGAUGGCCUCCCGUGCGCCUCGUCGCGCGGUUGGCAUAAAUGCCAAGUCCUCGGCGACGCACGCCACGACAAUCGGUGGUUGCGAAACCUCGGUUGCCCGUCGUGUGCGGUCGUCGAGCAUCGAGGGCUCGAAAAAAUUGCCGGGCUCCGGCUCGGCUUUCAACGCGACCCCAGGUCAGGCGGGGUUACCCGCUGAAUUUAAGCAUAUCAAUAAGCGGAGGA
This 391-nucleotide unclassified non-coding RNA is filed under the name soil metagenome. Its description in RNAcentral is "partial contains 5.8S ribosomal RNA, internal transcribed spacer 2, and large subunit ribosomal RNA". The stretch from base 1 to 122 matches the Rfam family "5.8S ribosomal RNA", at positions 35 to 154 of the family's 154-position model. The record is from RNAcentral.